Molecule: ribosomal RNA, 433 nt
Filed under: uncultured bacterium
Lineage: Bacteria
Description: partial 16S ribosomal RNA
Rfam family: Bacterial small subunit ribosomal RNA
Source: RNAcentral
AACGAACGCUGGCGGCAUGCCUAACACAUGCAAGUCGAACGAGACCUUCGGGUCUUGUGGCGCUCGUGUGCGUACCGCGUGGUAACCUGCCCUUAGGUUCGGUAUACCUCCCCGUAAGGGGUCUUCAUACCGGUUAAUGUCUUCCCACCUAAGAUUUGUCGCCUUUGGAUGGGCCCGCGUUGGUUUAGCUAGUUGGUAGGGUAAAAGCCUACUAAGGGGAUGAUACAUAGCUGGUCAGAGAGGAUGACCAGACACAGUGGGACUGAGACACGGGCCAGACACGGAAGGGAGGAAGGAGUGGGGAAGAAUAGAGAAUGGGAGAAAGACGGAGCAAGCAAUGGCGCGUGAGGGAUGAAGGCGGUAGGGAUGUAAAGCUCGUUUGGCCGGGAGGAUAAUGAAAGUAAAGGGAGAAUAAGCGCCGGCUAACUCAGUG